UACGUAGGGUGCGAGCGUUGUCCGGAAUUAUUGGGCGUAAAGGGCUCGUAGGCGGUUUGUCGCGUCGGGAGUGAAAAUCCAGGGCUUAACUCUGGACUGGCUUUCGAUACGGGCAGACUAGAGGUAUGCAGGGGAGAACGGAAUUCCUGGUGUAGCGGUGAAAUGCGCAGAUAUCAGGAAGAACACCCGUGGCGAAAGCGGCUCUCUGGAACGGUACUGACGCUGAGACGCGAAAGCGUGGGGAGCGAACAGG
Molecule: ribosomal RNA, 253 nt
Filed under: uncultured bacterium
Lineage: Bacteria
Description: partial 16S ribosomal RNA
Rfam family: Bacterial small subunit ribosomal RNA
Source: RNAcentral